UACGACGGGGGCUAGCGAUGCUCGGAAUUACUGGGCGUAAAGGGCGCGUAGGCGGCGGUCUCAGUCAGGCGUGAAAGCCCCUGGCUCAACCUGAGAAUUACGCUUUUGACGGGAUUGCUUGAGGAGGGGAGAGGGUGGUGGAAUUCCAAGUGUAGAGGUGAAAUUCGUAGAUAUCGGGAAGAAUACCAGUGGCGAAGGCGGCAUCCUGGCCUGUUUCUGACGCUCAGGUGCGAAAGCGUGGGGAGCAAACGGG
Molecule: ribosomal RNA, 253 nt
Filed under: uncultured bacterium
Lineage: Bacteria
Description: partial 16S ribosomal RNA
Rfam family: Bacterial small subunit ribosomal RNA
Source: RNAcentral